RNAcentral lists this unclassified non-coding RNA (391 nucleotides) under soil metagenome. RNAcentral's name for it is "partial contains 5.8S ribosomal RNA, internal transcribed spacer 2, and large subunit ribosomal RNA". The stretch from base 1 to 122 matches the Rfam family "5.8S ribosomal RNA", at positions 35 to 154 of the family's 154-position model. The record is from RNAcentral.
GAUGAAGAACGUAGCGAAAUGCGAUACUUGGUGUGAAUUGCAGAAUCCCGUGAACCAUCGAGUCUUUGAACGCAAGUUGCGCCCGAAGCCACUAGGCCGAGGGCACGCCUGCCUGGGCGUCACACGCCGUUGCCCCCCCAUCUACUCCUUCGGGAUUGCGGGGGGGCGGAUGAUGGCCUCCCGUGCGCCUAGCCGCGCGGUUGGCAUAAAUACCAAGUCCUCGGCGACGCACGCCACGACAAUCGGUGGUUGCGAAACCUCGGUUGCACGUCGUGUGCGUUCGUCGCGCAUCGAGGGCUCGAAAAAAUGCUCGGCUCCGGCUGGGCUUUCAACGCGACCCCAGGUCAGGCGGGGUUACCCGCUGAAUUUAAGCAUAUCAAUAAGCGGAGGA